ACUUACCUGGACGGGGUCAAUGGGUGAUCAAAAAGACUCAUGGCCUAGGUUGGUGACCGCCAUUGCACAUUAAGGUGGGGUGCCCGCCUAAGGUCUGCCCAAAGUGGCAGAGCCUACGUCAUAAUUUGUGGUAGCGGGGGCCUGCGUUCGCGCGGCCCCCUCCUAAGUUUCCAGUUCCCAAACUUUCGGCUUUUCCAGGUAUCUGAUUCUUGGUUGAGACUCCUGAUAAUAUUCUUCUCAUUGAAAUCGACUGAAGCUGAAAAAUUACUGGCAUGAUUUCAAUGUUUUCGUUUGGUGUAUUUGCAUACUACAAGGAAAUUAAUUUCAUUAUAUCUUUUGAAUAUAUUCUCCAUAUCUAAAUUGAGUGUAUUUAGAUUUAACUCAUCCAUAUGCUGUACAUAUGUUCAUCUUAAUCUGAAUGAAAACUUAUCCAAGCAUGAUGUUUUUCAUAUUUACUAUAAAACUUGAAGAUAGUCCCUUUUUUGAGCUACAUUGAGUUUUUUGAGGCUUGGGGACUAAUUCAUCAAAUUUCAAACAAACUAGAUUUGCUUCUUGCUCAUGAAUUUUGGCUCCAUUUUGGUGUGAACAUUCAGAUCACUUACCUGUGCUAGAUUUGCUCGAUGACUGUUCUCUGUUUGACAAAAAGAAGUUUCCCUUUCUUUUCAGUCAGUUCAACUAUGGUAUGGUAGAAAUUAGACCUUUAGCUGCAAGAGUCGGAACUUUGAUUGUGGUGUUAGAGAGGAUUAGCCAAGCGACUCACGGGAGAAAGAGUAAGAAAUGGAUGGUAGAGAGAAGAAAAGGCACAUCUUUUGUGAGAUCCCACGAACACGAUGGAAACCUCUCUAGAGUUUUUGAAAACCGUAACGCUGACAGUGAUACAUAACGAGUCAAAGCGGAUAAUAUCUGCUGCUAUCAAUAAGCUUGGAUUGUUACAUUUUCAUUUUCAUUUGCUCCGUUUCCGUUUUCGUUUUCAUUUUCAUUUGCUCCAUAUCCUCAUUAGCCAAAGAGACAGCUCCUUCAAAGCACAACUUGCUGCAUUUGACGCCGCAGUGGGUCUGGUCUAUAAGCUUAAUAAAAUUGAGUGACAUUACUGUCAGAUGCCUUCUCCUGUGGGCAUCAAAUUUCAUUCCUGUUCGGUCGGAACCUAUUUUCUUUAAAGCUAUAUAUAGCAAAUGAAGUGGAAAGCGUGAAGAUUUGAUAUU
This is a long non-coding RNA of Cucurbita maxima (winter squash), 1202 nucleotides long. RefSeq lists it as uncharacterized. The transcript is spliced from 3 exons. Lineage: Eukaryota; Viridiplantae; Streptophyta; Magnoliopsida; Cucurbitales; Cucurbitaceae. The record is from RefSeq and is a predicted model, not a curated record.